UGGCACAACAGAUUGUGAUUAGCCUACACCAAGAUGCACCAAUACUGCUAGACUAAUCACUGACCAUAAUCAGUAGGAAUUCCGGACCAAAUUGAAUUGAAGGUGCAUAAUUGGGUGCAAUGCUUUAAUUGACAUUGCUCUAGCAAUCCCACAGAGACAGCAUUGGUGCAUCGUGGUGUAGGCUAAUCACAAUCUGUUUUAUAC
RNAcentral lists this microRNA precursor (204 nucleotides) under Prunus persica (peach). Its description in RNAcentral is "miR6294 stem-loop (ppe-MIR6294)". Lineage: Eukaryota; Viridiplantae; Streptophyta; Magnoliopsida; Rosales; Rosaceae. The record is from miRBase by way of RNAcentral.